This is a non-coding RNA of Styela clava, 2083 nucleotides long. The record is from RefSeq and is a predicted model, not a curated record. Lineage: Eukaryota; Metazoa; Chordata; Ascidiacea; Stolidobranchia; Styelidae.
UAUUUUAGCCAACUGAAAGGUUAAUUAUUGCGAUAAUUCAAAUCUGCUCGCGUACCACUUGAAAAACUCCCGUACCACAGGUUGAGAACCACUGCUCUACAUAGACUGAUAACCAGACGAGAGUCUGUGGUUCGUAAUAUGAUUAUGCAGUGUUAUCGGCUUUUCCUCCCCCGAGAUAAAUGUGCAAAACCUAUCCUAAAUCAUGUUGAUAAUAAGCCCCGAAAUGUGAUGUCACUAUACAUAUUACAACUUUGCUAUACCAGGGGACCAGAAACUGUGGGAUAUUCAAUCACUAAGCCAUAUGAAAUAUUUAAUCCCUAAAUUUGAAUGAUAUUUGUUUGCGUUUUUAUAGCAGGUAAUAAAGAUAAAAAUAAUAUGCUAGAUAGUAAAAUUGAAAUUUUUUUAAGGGGCAAAAUGAACAAGAAGAAGCUGGUUCUGUAGGUGGAAACCAAGCAAUAGAAUAAACCAAUACAGCAGGAAGGUGAUGACGAUGCCGAUGAUCUUGAGAAGUUUCCCAAACUGACCACAUUCUAAAGACAUUGCUAAGAUACAAAUGUUUCAUCAACAUGUUACUGUUAAUGUCGUAUAUUCAACAUUAAAUUUCUCCAAUAAUCUCAGACUGAAUGCUGAAUGAUUCUGUGGUUUCCUGCAACACAUUAUGGACAUGCAUAUGUAGUGAAGGGAUCAAAUAUUAGAAAUAUUAACUCUUAAAGACUAGAUAGUCUAGUCCAGUUAUAGUGGAAUUGAGGGAAAAUUUUUUUUUUUUUGUGUGAAAUGCUGAUUUAUUUUGCAUAGGCUUGGAUUGUGAAAACAUAGUAAUUGACUCUUAGUCAUAUGCACUACCCUUCAGCAACGAUUUCGGCAAUUUAGGUCAUCCCUCACAAGAUUUGACCUCUUGAACUGACCUCAGAGCAUUUUGUAAAAUUCUGCACCAAAUCCUGAUUUGCAUGUUUUUUCAUACAAAUUCUUGUCAUUUCAUAAUUUUUUUUUCCUAUUAGUUUUACAAAUUAGGUUGGGUGCUGCAUUAAUGCUUCAGCUUCUUAUGUACUAUUUUUAGUGAGUCAUAACAAACUCACGUUAAGCUUUUCCAGAUAUCAUGUGUAUUGUUUGGUGACCGUACAUUUGAACCCACGUACAUUUGAACCCAUGCGUAUAUCCGCGGGUUCAAUCUAUAUGCGGGUGCUAAAACCCACGGGUUAGGGUGAGUAUGGGUUCAAAUAUCCAUAAAACAAAAAACAAUUCAUAAGUGCGAUAGUAUGCAGGUACAAUUGCCAUGGGUUCAAAUGUAAUGGAACCGUAUUGUUUUUAUGUCGCCCUCAUUCAGCAAUUUUUGUGCAAUUAUAAUUUUUAUGGUAUGUCAACAACUUUCUUUGUUUAGGUCAGGUUUUGAGUUUUUUCUUAUAAUUGUCAACUGCUGUACUUAUUCUUGCUGUAUAUCAGUUUACUUUGCCACUCCACAUUUUUGCUUGAAUUUUAAAAUAUAUAAAAACUAUAAAAAUCAAUAAAACUAUAAAUAAAAAAAAAUCCAAGUUAUUAACCUAUAUCGUAACUCGUUUCAAAUAGCCAUUGUUCGAAUUUUUAUUAAUUUUUGUUGUGAAAUGCAUUAUUAUCUUUUUCUUUUAUGUUUUUCAAUUAUUGUCAACCACUGAUAUCUAUUAUUUCUGUGUAUAUUUUAAAACAUCUCUAUGAAUUAAUGAUAUUCUGAUUUGUCGACAAACCUGCCAUAAAUUAUACAUUCCAUGACUGUUAUAAUAACAGUCGGACUGGAGUGAUUGAUUUUUGGCUCAGUGUUGUGGUUUGAUAUUGUGUUCCGAAAACUUGGUAGCUAAGGACUCUACUGGAGCCCAGUGUAACUUUGCCCCUAAUCUAUGUAAAGUAAUAAGAAAUGUCCAUUAUGAAUUCUAGUAAUAUUAUAAUAGUGAUUCAUGUAGAUUAUUACAAUGAUGUUUUGUUUUGCAAUGCCUAUUACGAAUUUUCAUUUUUUUGUUUUGUGUGAGUCAGCUUUUUAAAUUUUCAUGUACUGCAAUCCGCUUUUCUUGUUCAUCAUUAUUCUCUAUAACUCCGUGUGUUUUUCUAAGUUUUA